CUACGGAGGGUGCAAGCGUUACUCGGAAUCACGGGGCGUAAAGCGCGUGCAGGCGGCUUGAUAAGUUGGAUGUGAAAGCCUACGGCUCAACCGCAGAACUGCAUCCAAAACUGUCAGGCUAGAGUGUGGGAGAGGAAGAUGGAAUUAGUUGUGUAGGGGUAAAAUCCGUAGAGAUAACUAGGAAUACCAAAAGCGAAGGCAAUCUUCUGGAACACUACUGACGCUGAGGCGCGAAGGCGUGGGGAGCAAACAGGAUUAGAAACCCCAGUAGUCC
RNAcentral lists this ribosomal RNA (274 nucleotides) under uncultured bacterium. RNAcentral's name for it is "partial 16S ribosomal RNA". It matches the Rfam family "Bacterial small subunit ribosomal RNA", at positions 523 to 796 of the family's 1533-position model. The record is from RNAcentral.